CACGCCCCUUCCUUCCGAGGAGCUUUCUGCCUGCCCAAGCUGGUAGACCCCCUGAUUUAUUCUUCCAUCUCCGCUCUCUUUCGCCUCAUCUUCUCUUAGUUCUCACCGCCCCUCCACCCCCACCUCCAGUCUGUCUUGCCUCCGACCAUCCGCUGCUCCACCCUCCGGCCCGGUAUCCUGCCUGUCCACUGCCACCAAGGAGAGCCCGGACAGAGCAGCGAGGAGGGGACCAGGCGGGAGUUGGGGCUUCCCCCUGACCAUCCCUGGCCUCCGGCCCGGGACCGAAGCCACUUGAGCGAGCAGAGAGUCGUCACCUUGUCUUCGGUGCCUUCAGGGAGCUGCUGAGAAGGACAAAUAGCAGAAGGGAAAGAGGCUUUCUCUCCUUGGAAGAAAGGCUAAGAUACUAAAGAGUGACCAGUGGUUGGACUCUUGGCGGCGCUUACCCUGAACCUGUGUGUUAGGGGAGAGGGAAUCUGCCGUUGCGGUUUCUG
This is a long non-coding RNA of Hyaena hyaena (striped hyena), 491 nucleotides long. RefSeq lists it as uncharacterized. Lineage: Eukaryota; Metazoa; Chordata; Mammalia; Carnivora; Hyaenidae. The record is from RefSeq and is a predicted model, not a curated record. The transcript is spliced from 3 exons.